This 253-nucleotide ribosomal RNA is filed under the name uncultured bacterium. RNAcentral's name for it is "partial 16S ribosomal RNA". It matches the Rfam family "Bacterial small subunit ribosomal RNA", at positions 524 to 776 of the family's 1533-position model. The record is from RNAcentral.
UACGAAGGGGGCUAGCGUUGUUCGGAUUUACUGGGCGUAAAGCGCACGUAGGCGGAUCGAUCAGUCAGGGGUGAAAUCCCAGAGCUCAACUCUGGAACUGCCUUUGAUACUGUCGAUCUGGAGUAUGGAAGAGGUGAGUAGAAUUCCGAGUGUAGAGGUGAAAUUCGUAGAUAUUCGGAGGAACACCAGUGGCGAAGGCGGCUCACUGGUCCAUUACUGACGCUGAGGUGCGAAAGCGUGGGGAGCAAACAGG